This 2872-nucleotide ribosomal RNA is filed under the name Bacillus licheniformis. RNAcentral describes it as "23S ribosomal RNA". It matches the Rfam family "Bacterial large subunit ribosomal RNA". The record is from RNAcentral. Lineage: Bacteria; Bacillati; Bacillota; Bacilli; Caryophanales; Bacillaceae.
CGGUUAAGUUAGAAAGGGCGCACGGUGGAUGCCUUGGCACUAGGAGCCGAUGAAGGACGGGACGAACACCGAUAUGCUUCGGGGAGCUGUAAGCAAGCUUUGAUCCGGAGAUUUCCGAAUGGGGAAACCCACUGCUCGUAAUGGAGCAGUAUCCAUAUCUGAAUUCAUAGGAUAUGAGAAGGCAGACCCGGGGAACUGAAACAUCUAAGUACCCGGAGGAAGAGAAAGCAAAUGCGAUUCCCUGAGUAGCGGCGAGCGAAACGGGAUUAGCCCAAACCAAGAGGCUUGCCUCUUGGGGUUGUAGGACACUCUGUACGGAGUUACAAAGGAACGAGGUAGAUGAAGAGGUCUGGAAAGGCCCGCCAUAGGAGGUAACAGCCCUGUAGUCAAAACUUCGUUCUCUCCUGAGUGGAUCCUGAGUACGGCGGAACACGUGAAAUUCCGUCGGAAUCCGGGAGGACCAUCUCCCAAGGCUAAAUACUCCCUAGUGACCGAUAGUGAACCAGUACCGUGAGGGAAAGGUGAAAAGCACCCCGGAAGGGGAGUGAAAGAGAUCCUGAAACCGUGUGCCUACAAGUAGUCAGAGCCCGUUAACGGGUGAUGGCGUGCCUUUUGUAGAAUGAACCGGCGAGUUACGAUCCCGUGCAAGGUUAAGUUUGAAAAGACGGAGCCGCAGCGAAAGCGAGUCUGAAUAGGGCGCAUGAGUACGUGGUCGUAGACCCGAAACCAGGUGAUCUACCCAUGUCCAGGGUGAAGUUCAGGUAACACUGAAUGGAGGCCCGAACCCACGCACGUUGAAAAGUGCGGGGAUGAGGUGUGGGUAGGGGUGAAAUGCCAAUCGAACCUGGAGAUAGCUGGUUCUCUCCGAAAUAGCUUUAGGGCUAGCCUCAAGGUAAGAGUCUUGGAGGUAGAGCACUGAUUGGACUAGGGGCCCCUACCGGGUUACCGAAUUCAGUCAAACUCCGAAUGCCAAAGACUUAUCCUUGGGAGUCAGACUGCGAGUGAUAAGAUCCGUAGUCGAAAGGGAAACAGCCCAGACCGCCAGCUAAGGUCCCAAAGUAUACGUUAAGUGGAAAAGGAUGUGGAGUUGCUUAGACAACCAGGAUGUUGGCUUAGAAGCAGCCACCAUUUAAAGAGUGCGUAAUAGCUCACUGGUCGAGUGACUCUGCGCCGAAAAUGUACCGGGGCUAAACGUAUCACCGAAGCUGCGGACUGUUCUUGCGAACAGUGGUAGGAGAGCGUUCUAAGGGCUGUGAAGCGAGACCGGAAGGACUCGUGGAGCGCUUAGAAGUGAGAAUGCCGGUAUGAGUAGCGAAAGAGGGGUGAGAAUCCCCUCCACCGAAUGCCUAAGGUUUCCUGAGGAAGGCUCGUCCGCUCAGGGUUAGUCCUCCUCACCAUUUGAGCAAUGGGGGGACGCAGGAGGAUAGGGUAAGCGCGGUAUUGGAUAUCCGCGUCCAAGCAGUUAGGCUGGGAAAUAGGCAAAUCCGUUUCCCGUAAGGCUGAGCUGUGAUGGCGAGCGAAAUAUAGUAGCGAAGUUCCUGAUUCCACACUGCCAAGAAAAGCCUCUAGCGAGGUGAGAGGUGCCCGUACCGCAAACCGACACAGGUAGGCGAGGAGAGAAUCCUAAGGUGAUCGAGAGAACUCUCGUUAAGGAACUCGGCAAAAUGACCCCGUAACUUCGGGAGAAGGGGUGCUCUGUUAGGGUGCAAGCCCGAGAGAGCCGCAGUGAAUAGGCCCAGGCGACUGUUUAGCAAAAACACAGGUCUCUGCGAAGCCGUAAGGCGAAGUAUAGGGGCUGACGCCUGCCCGGUGCUGGAAGGUUAAGAGGAGCGCUUAGCGUAAGCGAAGGUGCGAAUUGAAGCCCCAGUAAACGGCGGCCGUAACUAUAACGGUCCUAAGGUAGCGAAAUUCCUUGUCGGGUAAGUUCCGACCCGCACGAAAGGCGCAACGAUCUGGGCACUGUCUCAACGAGAGACUCGGUGAAAUUAUAGUACCUGUGAAGAUGCAGGUUACCCGCGACAGGACGGAAAGACCCCGUGGAGCUUUACUGCAGCCUGAUAUUGAAUGUUGGUACAGCUUGUACAGGAUAGGUAGGAGCCUUGGAAACCGGAGCGCCAGCUUCGGUGGAGGCAUCGGUGGGAUACUACCCUGGCUGUAUUGACCUUCUAACCCGCUGCCCUUAUCGGGCAGGGAGACAGUGUCAGGUGGGCAGUUUGACUGGGGCGGUCGCCUCCUAAAAGGUAACGGAGGCGCCCAAAGGUUCCCUCAGAAUGGUUGGAAAUCAUUCGCAGAGUGUAAAGGCACAAGGGAGCUUGACUGCGAGACCUACAAGUCGAGCAGGGACGAAAGUCGGGCUUAGUGAUCCGGUGGUUCCGCAUGGAAGGGCCAUCGCUCAACGGAUAAAAGCUACCCCGGGGAUAACAGGCUUAUCUCCCCCAAGAGUCCACAUCGACGGGGAGGUUUGGCACCUCGAUGUCGGCUCAUCGCAUCCUGGGGCUGUAGUCGGUCCCAAGGGUUGGGCUGUUCGCCCAUUAAAGCGGUACGCGAGCUGGGUUCAGAACGUCGUGAGACAGUUCGGUCCCUAUCCGUCGCGGGCGCAGGAAAUUUGAGAGGAGCUGUCCUUAGUACGAGAGGACCGGGAUGGACGCACCGCUGGUGUACCAGUUGUUCUGCCAAGGGCAUCGCUGGGUAGCUAUGUGCGGACGGGAUAAGUGCUGAAAGCAUCUAAGCAUGAAGCCCCCCUCAAGAUGAGAUUUCCCAUUCCUAUAAGGAAGUAAGAUCCCUGAAAGAUGAUCAGGUUGAUAGGUCUGAGGUGGAAGUGUGGCGACACAUGGAGCUGACAGAUACUAAUCGAUCGAGGACUUAACCUAAA